Molecule: ribosomal RNA, 431 nt
Filed under: uncultured bacterium
Lineage: Bacteria
Description: partial 16S ribosomal RNA
Rfam family: Bacterial small subunit ribosomal RNA
Source: RNAcentral
CCUACGGGUGGCAGCAGUAAGGAAUAUUGGUCAAUGGGGGCAACCCUGAACCAGCCAUGCCGCGUGCAGGAAGACGGGCUCUGCAUUGUAAACUGCUUUUAUACCAGAAUAUGUAUGGUAAGAAUAAGGAUCGGCUAACUCCGUGCCAGCAGCCGCGGUAAUACGGAGGAUCCAAGCGUUAUCCGGAUUUAUUGGGUUUAAAGGGUGCGUAGGCGGCUUUUUAAGUCAGGGGUGAAAGACGGUGGCUCAACCAUCGCAGUGCCUUUGAUACUGAGAAGCUUGAUUAAACUUGAGGCAGGCGGAAUGUGACAAGUAGCGGUGAAAUGCAUAGAUAUGUCACAGAACACCGAUUGCGAAGGCAGCUUGCUAAGUUUAAUGACGCUGAGGCACGAAAGCGUGGGGAUCAAACAGGAUUAGAUACCCUAGUAGUC